GGAAUUUUCCGCAAUGGGCGAAAGCCUGACGGAGCAACGCCGCGUGAGGGAUGAAGGCCUCUGGGCUGUAAACCUCUUUUAUCAAGGAAGAAGAUCUGACGGUACUUGAUGAAUAAGCCACGGCUAAUUCCGUGCCAGCAGCCGCGGUAAUACGGGAGUGGCAAGCGUUAUCCGGAAUUAUUGGGCGUAAAGCGUCCGCAGGCGGCCCUUCAAAUCUGCCGUUAAAAAGUGGAGCUUAACUCCAUCAUGGCAGUGGAAACUGUUGGGCUUGAGUGUGGUAGGGGCAGAGGGAAUUCCCGGUGUAGCGGUGGAAAGCGUAGAUAUCGGGAAGAACACCAGUGGCGAAGGCGCUCUGCUGGGCCAUCACUGACGCUCAUGGACGAAAGCCAGGGGAGCGAAAGGGAUUAGAUACCCCUGUAGUC
RNAcentral lists this ribosomal RNA (422 nucleotides) under uncultured cyanobacterium. Its description in RNAcentral is "bacterial SSU rRNA". It matches the Rfam family "Bacterial small subunit ribosomal RNA", at positions 358 to 795 of the family's 1533-position model. The record is from RNAcentral. Lineage: Bacteria; Bacillati; Cyanobacteriota.